GGUGGUGGGAUGGUCAAAAUCAUGAUCCUUCUCAAAUUCCAAUUUGAAAUAUUCUUUCAACAGAUGUGUCCUAUAGUGUUUGCUACAGACUGAGUUCUAUAGCCCCAAAAUCAUAUAUUGAAGCCUUAACACCCCGUACCUGAAAAUGUGACCAUUUGGAGAUAAGACCUUUAUAGAAAUAGUUACAUUACAAUGGGAUUAUUAAGGUGGGCCCUAAUCUAAUAUGACUAGUGUUCUUACAAGAAUAGAAAAUGAGAAUAUAGACAACAUAAAGAGGCACCAUGUGAAAACACUGAAAGAAAACAGCUAUUUACAGGUCAAGGAGACAGGCCUCAGAAGAAGCAAUCCUUCGGACAGCUUGAUUUUGGACUUCCAGCCUCUGCUGCCUGGCAGUUUGGCUAUAUUUGUGCAAAGAAAAGUACUAUUCGCUGAUUCAGCGUUGAGUCUUUCAGGAUGCAGAGGCUGUCGGAGAAUCACAGUAACUCGCCAUACAUUUGGAUGCCUCUGACACCGGGUAGACCAUAUGAUAACCUAGUGCUCAGGAAGUAUUCAGGUUUCUUCCUAAAUAAUUAUACUCUUGAAAACUUUAAAAUUAUGUCCCGUGAACAGAAUAGGUAGCUUCAUUUGGGGUCACUGUGUAUCAGUAACUAAAUGUCUUUUUAAUCUUUG
This 669-nucleotide long non-coding RNA is filed under the name Homo sapiens (human). Its description in RNAcentral is "HSALNT0306346". Lineage: Eukaryota; Metazoa; Chordata; Mammalia; Primates; Hominidae. The record is from RNAcentral.